UCCCUAGUAGCGGCGAGCGAAGCGGGAAAAGCUCAAAUUUGUAAUCUGGCGUCUACGACGUCCGAGUUGUAAUCUCGAGAAGUGUUUUCCGUGAUAGACCGCAUACAAGUCUCUUGGAACAGAGCGUCAUAGUGGUGAGAACCCAGUACACGAUGCGGAUGCCUAUUACUUUGUGAUACACUUUCGAAGAGUCGAGUUGUUUGGGAAUGCAGCUCAAAUUGGGUGGUAAAUUCCAUCUAAAGCUAAAUAUUGGCGAGAGACCGAUAGCGAACAAGUACCGUGAGGGAAAGAUGAAAAGCACUUUGGAAAGAGAGUUAACAGUACGUGAAAUUGUUGGAAGGGAAACACAUGCAGCCAGACUUGCUAUUCGGGGCAACUCGAUUGGCAGGCCCGCAUCAGUUUUUCGGGGCGGAAAAUCAUAGAGAGAAGGUAGCAAUUUCGGUUGUGUUAUAGCUCUUUAUUGGAUUCGCCCUGGGGGACUGAGGAACGCAGCGUGCUUUUAGCAUAAGCUUCGGCUUAUCCACGCUUAGGAUGCGGGUGUAAUGGCUGUAUAUGACCCGUCUUAACA
RNAcentral lists this ribosomal RNA (568 nucleotides) under Sporobolomyces roseus. RNAcentral's name for it is "partial large subunit ribosomal RNA". It matches the Rfam family "Eukaryotic large subunit ribosomal RNA", at positions 77 to 659 of the family's 3401-position model. Lineage: Eukaryota; Fungi; Basidiomycota; Microbotryomycetes; Sporidiobolales; Sporidiobolaceae. The record is from RNAcentral.